This 129-nucleotide small nucleolar RNA is filed under the name Paramormyrops kingsleyae. Its description in RNAcentral is "Small nucleolar RNA SNORA51 (ENSPKIG00000017160.1)". Lineage: Eukaryota; Metazoa; Chordata; Actinopteri; Osteoglossiformes; Mormyridae. The record is from RNAcentral.
GUCCUCCCAAUGCUUACCACAGACAGCACACAUUGUGGCUGGCUGUACAGAAAGAGGAGGUACAGUAAUUCUGCCUUAAUGUCACACCCAGGGGAAGGUCACCCUUCCGUACUGGGUAGGGAUACUGUA